RNAcentral lists this ribosomal RNA (430 nucleotides) under Acidobacteriota bacterium. Its description in RNAcentral is "Acidobacteria bacterium partial 16S ribosomal RNA". It matches the Rfam family "Bacterial small subunit ribosomal RNA", at positions 355 to 776 of the family's 1533-position model. The record is from RNAcentral. Lineage: Bacteria; Pseudomonadati; Acidobacteriota.
UGGGGAAUAUUGGACAAUGGGCGAAAGCCUGAUCCAGCCAUGCCGCGUGUGUGAAGAAGGCCUUUUGGUUGUAAAGCACUUUAUGCGAGGAGGAGGCUACUUGGAUUAAUACUCUAGGAUAGUGGACGUUACUCGCAGAAUAAGCACCGGCUAACUCUGUGCCAGCAGCCGCGGUAAUACAGAGGGUGCGAGCGUUAAUCGGAUUUACUGGGCGUAAAGCGUGCGUAGGCUGCUUCUUAAGUCGGAUGUGAAAUCCCUGAGCUUAACUUAGGAAUGGCAUUCGAUACUGGGAAGCUAGAGUAUGGGAGAGGAUGGUAGAAUUCCAGGUGUAGCGGUGAAAUGCGUAGAGAUCUGGAGAAAUACCGAUGGCGAAGGCAGCCAUCUGGCCUAAUACUGACGCUGAGGUACGAAAGCAUGGGGAGCAAACAGG